Long non-coding RNA from Oncorhynchus kisutch (coho salmon), 723 nucleotides. NCBI's taxonomy places the organism in Eukaryota, Metazoa, Chordata, Actinopteri, Salmoniformes, Salmonidae. The record is from Ensembl.
AUGAAAGAAAUACUGGUCAUCCACCAGCUGGAGCACCUAGGCUACAACAAACAAACCUUUUCCAUAAAAAGAGUGCCCCUAAAAAUGUUUCCUAAAGACCUGGAGGCAGUACAUUUUGAAUUUCAGAUCCGCUCGAGUUUGAUGGAGUCGGUAACAUGGAGCAAUAUUAGGCUGACAAGGAUAAGUCUUGCAGCCUGGCGAAUAUGCAGUCUGCGUCUCAAUACACAUCCCAAUCAACAUUUGGGCACAGAGGGCCUGAAGAGACAAGUCUUCAGAGAGACAUCUCACUCGCCCAGAAACCGCCCAAGACUCCAGACCUCUCCUUCUGUUAAGCAUGGACUACCCGGAUGUCCACUUCCACUGGGGGCUGCAGUGAGACAAAGCUACUGGGAUCUCCUAUAGGACCUACGGUCUUCUGACAGACACCUGCUACAGUACCAGGGAGAACCAUGGCACCACGGUCCUCUACCUCUAUUCAUCUAGAUUCUACACUACAGUGUGGUUCAUGCUCAUACUGCAGUGGAACAUGAUGCCCAGUAAUACUGAAUGACUAAUCUAAUCAUAUUGAAAAUAGUUUGUUUCAGUUCAAGUUUCAUUCUACUGUACCAGUGUUCAUUAUAUGCAGUUGCUAAAAUGUAUAUGGUUUGUCUUGACAAGAUGCAAGCAUUGAUUAUUACAUUGUUAUUCACAAAGAUGAUUAUUGUCUCAAUAAAUAAAAUGUCC